RNAcentral lists this ribosomal RNA (475 nucleotides) under uncultured bacterium. Its description in RNAcentral is "bacterial SSU rRNA". It matches the Rfam family "Bacterial small subunit ribosomal RNA", at positions 18 to 507 of the family's 1533-position model. The record is from RNAcentral.
AGUGGCUCGAGGACAACGCUGGCGGCGUGCCUAACACAUGCAAGUCGAACGGAGAUGUUGAUUUCGGUUGACGUCUUAGUGGCGAACGGGUGAGUAACGCGUGAACAAUCUGACCUUAAGAGGGGGAUAACAACGAGAAAUCGUUGCUAAUACCGCAUAAGACCACAAUGCCGCAUGGCGAAGGGUCAAAGGAGCAAUCCGCUUAAGGAGGGGUUCGCGUCCCAUUAGGUAGUAGGUGAGGUAACGGCUCACCUAGCCGACGAUGGUAGCCGAGCUGAGAGGCUGAUCGGCCACACUGGAACUGAGACACGGUCCAGACUCCUACGGGAGGCAGCAGUGGGGAAUAUUGGGCAAUGGGCGCAAGCCUGACCCAGCAACGCCGCGUGAGGGAAGAAGGUUUUCGGAUUGUAAACCUCUGUCGCAGAUGACGAAACAAAUGACGGUAAUCUGUGAGGAAGCCCCGGCUAACUACAUG